This 68-nucleotide transfer RNA is filed under the name Talonostrea talonata. RNAcentral describes it as "Crassostrea talonata tRNA-Val". Lineage: Eukaryota; Metazoa; Mollusca; Bivalvia; Ostreida; Ostreidae. The record is from RNAcentral.
CAAGAGGUAGUAUAAGACUAAUUACGCGACGCUUACAACGUUGAGAUAAGAGACUCUCUUCUUCUUGA